Molecule: long non-coding RNA, 1678 nt
Organism: Sapajus apella (tufted capuchin)
Lineage: Eukaryota; Metazoa; Chordata; Mammalia; Primates; Cebidae
Exons: 2
Source: RefSeq, a predicted model, not a curated record
UGCUCAGUAAACAUUAGCUGUAGUGUUUAUUAUAGAGUACACAGGGUAAAAAAUAUAAUAGCAAUUAUAUGUUAAAUAUUUGUAAUAAACAAGGCCCUAGGUUAAGUAUUCUAAGUACAUCAUCUCUUUUCAUCUUUAGAGAAACUCCACAAGGCAAAUUCUAGAAUAACCCAUUUGACAAGUGAGGAAACUGAGGCCCAGAGAGGUUAAGUCAUGUCUCCAAGUCCCAACGCUGCCAAAUGUCAGAGUCCAGUGUUGACUCCAGGCCUUGAGGUCCCAGCCAAGUCCUACCACCAACUUCUUUUCCUAAAACCUAGAAUUAGAUCACUUGUUGAACAUCCGUUGACACUUUACUUUCCAGGGAAUUUUCAAAACCCCAAUCCCUCAGAAGCCCCAAAACCUUUAAUAUGGCCCUUUAAAGCACCAGGAACAUUCACGGCAAAAGCCCAAUAACUACACAUGGAGUAGAAAUUAACAUAUGCAGAGGACUUUUUCUUGUUCAUACAAAAGCUUUUACCCAUACUACCCAAGGUGUGAGAGUGAAUAUACUGCAGGAAUGUACUUCCUACUACAGAAACCAGCAGGGCAAAGGAGGUGCUUUCAGUAGGGUAUGUGUAACCCUUGCUGUGCUCUGAAGAAGAGGGUCAAUUUCUUUGGUGGAAGUAGCAACACAAACCAUUCCUCCAGCAAUAAAAUCCACAGCUCCCUUGACAGCAAAGCUAACCUCAGCCAUACGGGCUUAUCAUGUAUUUCCCAGGACCCAGGAGUCUUUGAAAGUUUCUUGAGUGGGCUUCUACCUUAGCAUUUGCUUUCUGUCAGAUAAUACAGUGGUUAUGUCUGAAGGGUUUCCCCGAGGAGUUCCAGUUCUUUUAGUGGUGGUAACAUCAAGUAGUCUCCAGACAUUGCAGGUGGGUGGUUGAAAUGCUUGCUUUGGGAGGGGUGACCAGUCAGCUGGGGUCACAAAAGCCUUGUAAUUAGAAUCAGUGUGACUAAUUUCCAGGUAGAAUGAGAGGUUCUUGCAAAUUGCUUUUAUAGAAAUUAUACUCACUGGCAUCCAACCUGCCCUGAAUCACCCUAUGCUCACAACAGAAACAGCUGGUGUCAGAGAACUCUACAAAUAUGGCAAAUCAUCACAUGGGACUUUAUCCAUGGAGGCGAGAAUCCUCUUGCAUUGGAAGCUGGUAUGCUGAUGAUGUCAUGGUGGCUCAACUUUCCUGGUGUCUAAGAGGAGUGUCAGAGAGCAACCCUAACAUGGAUGUGUUGGGUGACCGUAGAUUUUCAAAGGGGUCUGUGAAAUUUUAGAGUCAUCUUUUGACAGUUGGUAAAACUGAGACCUCAGUUGGAAAAUGGACUUAUCCCAGUAUACACAAGGAGUGACAGAACUGGGUUCAGAUCCAAGAUCACCUGACCCCAGUCCCACUGCUCUUUGACUACAUCACACUGAGCUAACUCAUCCCUGCAACAUGCACCAAGAAUCUUCCAGGGUUAAAUUGCAGGGUAUAACAUGCACAGCUCAGAGUGUUUGGGAAUAGUUUGGAAAAUCAUCAUGCUCCACAUAUAUCAUCGACUUUAACCUCAGACCUCUGUAUCUUGUCAUUUCUUUGAAGUUUGUAUCAUUGAUAGUUACCACUGAUCUGCCACUCUGUUCAUCUUCUGUGAAUGAAAACUUAUCCCACAG